GUUACCGUCCAGUCGCUGUCCGGCUCGCCAUCACCGGUGUCUCACCGCCGUCACUAUGGAGACCAAACGCCGUUGAGCUUCUUGCUGCUGCCUUGGAGUCCGUCGUCAGGUUCGAGUUGAAGAAAGAGGGAGGCAUAGAUUCAACAUCGCGUAGAGAGGGAUUUGUUGUUGUCGUUGCGCGCCGUCGUGUGCUGUCGCUGUUGUUCGAGCCAUCGCCAUCGCCGUGGGUGAAGUUCGCCGCUGGUGCCAGUUGAGGCCGCUGCUAUUGAACAGAGAUGAGAGAGUGACGUUGGGAGGAAACUGUGAGCUGCAAGCCGCUGACCGAGAAGAAGCUCUGCCUUUGUCGCCGUGUUAGAGUCGUCGUUGCCAACGCUGCGCACCGCCGUUAGCGCUGCCGUUGAAGGGAGCUCGCCAUCACAGUUCAAUCAUCAUUGAGCUUGAAGGGAGGCGUCACUGAUAUACCCAACAGCAGCUUCCCCUGCAUUCCCAAUUCCAUUCUUGAAACUUAUUAUCAUCUUUAUCCGGAACCACUGAUGUUACCGCUACGGGGGUGAUUGGGAUAGGCUCGAUUGUCAUUGUUGUUGCUGCCCCAGAAGAAGUGAGGCUGCUGCUGCUGUUCCGGCCGCAUUGGCUGUUGUAAACUGGAAAAAAGAAGGGCAUCAUUGCGUUUAAAUUCGACGGCUUCGACUAAUUGAGGAUAAUUUUUUUGGACUCGUAAAGACAAAAGGAGUUGAUUAGUUGUUGUGGCACCCUGUAUAAGAUGGGAUAGGUCUUAUAAUGAGUUUGGUUAUCUAAAUGUAUUAUUUUGAUGUGUUCUUUACUUUUUGAUAAGAGACUUUAUCCGAUAUUAUAUGUAAUGGAUAAAUUACACUCUAUUUUGAUUAGUGUUGUAAUGAAUAUCUAAUUUUUAAUGAAACUUUUAUGAUUUGGAUUUA
Arachis ipaensis is the source of this 935-nucleotide non-coding RNA. The record is from RefSeq and is a predicted model, not a curated record. Lineage: Eukaryota; Viridiplantae; Streptophyta; Magnoliopsida; Fabales; Fabaceae.